AACUUUGAUGUCAAAUGACAGCAUUGUCGUCCUUCUACAUAAAGUCACUGAUGACUUUGAAGGUCUGGAAAUGAAUGCCAAUGACACUGAGGCAAGGACAAACAGCAGUGUGGCAAACCUCAAGGUGAAGGUCCGUCUGCCGAGAGAGCUGAACCUUCAAAAGAAUGACACAGUUGUCUUCUCCACGAUUCAGAUACCAAAAGAGGUUGCUUCAAAGGAAUGGGAUACAUUAUAUGAUCACAGAUUUGUUGGCCUGAGUGUGAGUGGCAAGAACAUUUCAAACCUUCGAGACCGAGUCAACAUCAGCAUAUAUUCAUCUACAAACCCGAGUAAAACCCAAGAACCC
This is a long non-coding RNA of Fundulus heteroclitus (mummichog), 346 nucleotides long. RefSeq lists it as uncharacterized. The transcript is spliced from 4 exons. Lineage: Eukaryota; Metazoa; Chordata; Actinopteri; Cyprinodontiformes; Fundulidae. The record is from RefSeq and is a predicted model, not a curated record.